This 443-nucleotide ribosomal RNA is filed under the name uncultured bacterium. RNAcentral's name for it is "partial 16S ribosomal RNA". It matches the Rfam family "Bacterial small subunit ribosomal RNA", at positions 338 to 795 of the family's 1533-position model. The record is from RNAcentral.
CCUACGGGUGGCAGCAGUGGGGAAUAUUGGGCAAUGGGCGCAAGCCUGACCCAGCAACGCCGCGUGAAGGAAGAAGGCUUUCGGGUUGUAAACUUCUUUUCUCAGGGACGAAGAAAGUGACGGUACCGGAGGAAUAAGCCACGGCUAACUACGUGCCAGCAGCCGCGGUAAUACGGAGGUGGCAAGCGUUAUCCGGAUUUAUGGGUUGUAAGGGGCGUGUAGGCGGAAGGGCAAGUCAGAUGUGAAAACUCAGGGCUCAACCCGGAGCCUGCAUUUGAAACUGUGUUUCUUGAGUGCUGGGGAGGCGAGCGGAAUGCGUGGUGUAGCGGUGAAAUGCGUAGAUAUACGGAAGAACACCGGUGGCGAAGGCGGAUUACUGGACAGUAACUGACGCUGAGGCGCGAAAGCGUGGGGAGCAAACAGGAUUAGAUACCCCAGUAGUC